CCUACGGGCGGCAGCAGUGGGGAAUAUUGGACAAUGGGCGAAAGCCUGAUCCAGCCAUGCCGCGUGUGUGAAGAAGGCCUUCGGGUUGUAAAGCACUUUCAGUGGGGAAGAAAGCCUUGGGGCUAAUACCCUCGAGGAAGGACAUCACCCACAGAAGAAGUACCGGCUAACUCCGUGCCAGCAGCCGCGGUAAUACGGAGGGUGCGAGCGUUAAUCGGAAUUACUGGGCGUAAAGCGCGCGUAGGCGGUCUGAUAAGCCGGUUGUGAAAGCCCCGGGCUCAACCUGGGAACGGCAUCCGGAACUGUCAGGCUAGAGUGCAGGAGAGGAAGGUAGAAUUCCCGGUGUAGCGGUGAAAUGCGUAGAGAUCGGGAGGAAUACCAGUGGCGAAGGCGGCCUUCUGGACUGACACUGACGCUGAGGUGCGAAAGCGUGGGUAGCAAACAGGAUUAGAUACCCCUGUAGUC
RNAcentral lists this ribosomal RNA (465 nucleotides) under Vreelandella stevensii. Its description in RNAcentral is "partial 16S ribosomal RNA". It matches the Rfam family "Bacterial small subunit ribosomal RNA", at positions 338 to 795 of the family's 1533-position model. Lineage: Bacteria; Pseudomonadati; Pseudomonadota; Gammaproteobacteria; Oceanospirillales; Halomonadaceae. The record is from RNAcentral.